GUGGGGAAUAUUGGGCAAUGGGGGAAACCCUGACCCAGCAACGCCGCGUGAGAGAAGAAGGUUUUCGGAUUGUAAAUCUCUGUCCUGGAGGACGAAGGAAGUGACGGUACUCCAGGAGGAAGCCCCGGCUAACUACGUGCCAGCAGCCGCGGUAAUACGUAGGGGGCGAGCGUUGUCCGGAAUUACUGGGCGUAAAGGGCGCGUAGGCGGCCCUGCAAGUUUCGUGUGAAAACCCUGUUUUUAAGGCAGGAGGUGCACGGAAAACUGCAGGGCUUGAGUGCAGGAGAGGGAAGCGGAAUUCCAAGUGUAGCGGUAAAAUGCGCAGAUAUUUGGAGGAACACCGGUGGCGAAGGCGGCUUUCUGGACUGUAACUGACGCUGAUGCGCGAGAGCGUGGGGAGCAAACAGGAUUAGAAACCCUAGUAGUCC
Molecule: ribosomal RNA, 428 nt
Filed under: uncultured bacterium
Lineage: Bacteria
Description: partial 16S ribosomal RNA
Rfam family: Bacterial small subunit ribosomal RNA
Source: RNAcentral